RNAcentral lists this ribosomal RNA (260 nucleotides) under uncultured bacterium. Its description in RNAcentral is "partial 16S ribosomal RNA". It matches the Rfam family "Bacterial small subunit ribosomal RNA", at positions 92 to 353 of the family's 1533-position model. The record is from RNAcentral.
CGAGUGGCGGACGGGUGAGUAAUGUCUGGGAAACUGCCUGAUGGAGGGGGAUAACUACUGGAAACGGUAGCUAAUACCGCAUAACGUCGCAAGACCAAAGAGGGGGACCCUCGGGCCUCUUGCCAUCGGAUGUGCCCAGAUGGGAUUAGCUUGUUGGUGGGGUAACGGCUCACCAAGGCGACGAUCCCUAGCUGGUCUGAGAGGAUGACCAGCCACACUGGAACUGAGACACGGUCCAGACUCCUACGGGAGGCAGUAUG